AAACCUAUGUAUUUAGGGUUUGAUGGACUUGACUAUCCGAUGAUGGAAACCAAAUGGAAUAUAAGCUCAAGGCUCAUCUCAUAUAAACUCAAGCAAGUGUCUACAAAAGAAAGCAUUUGACAAAGUCUUGAAGUGCCACAAAAACCCUACCUUAGUUUGAGUGAAUAUUGUGUAAAGCAAAAGGGUAUUCUCGUAGAAGUACAUGACUACGCACACACACACACACGCAUGCAAGGAUGCACACACACACUCACGCACGCACGCC
Molecule: long non-coding RNA, 265 nt
Filed under: Lathyrus oleraceus (garden pea)
Lineage: Eukaryota; Viridiplantae; Streptophyta; Magnoliopsida; Fabales; Fabaceae
Description: Pisum sativum (pea) long non-coding RNA (PSAT_LNC035708)
Source: RNAcentral